UAAUCUGGGAUAUUUCUGUAGAGGAAUACUUAUUUUGACUAGCCACUUCAUUGAUCAGAUUAGUGCAGACAGACAGCAUUACAUUACUAGGAAUUUCAUCUGAAUCAACAUUAGACAGGGCAUAUUGAACAAGUUCGAGUAAUUCCAAACGCUUGUCUGGUGGCUGCUGGACCCAUAUUUCUAACAAGUUAGGCAGGAACAUUGCUAAUUGUGAUUUUGUCAGUCUCUCGCAAAAUAUACGAAGAUGUUUUGCAUUUGUUAAAUUCCUUAACAGCGAUUUGGUACCACAGACUGAUAUAAUACGAAGCAAGAUAUCCUGAACUUUAGAACGUAAAGUUGUGUUCUCCUGUAAGUGCAAAAGACUUGGUACACAAGAUUCACAUAUGCGAAUUAUAUCAUCGUUUUGAAUGUAGACUAAUACUUGAAGAACGUCCAAUGCAUUUUCAAAUGGGGAUAAAUCGAUGACUUUCGGUGCUUCGAGUAUUUGGAGCUUUUUAAGAAGAAAAGAGGUAACAAUAUCACAAUGUGUAUUUGUUACAGCAAUUAUGAGUUGUGACGCUAAUCGAGGUUGAGUGCUGAAAAGGCUCCAAACCUGAGGAAGAAUACACGAAAAAUAUUUCUGUGGUGAGAUAUCCUUUGGAACAGAUGAAAUCAGAUGAGCGGCCUGUCGUGCGCGUUCGAUUGAAUUUGGCUGUGCUUGCAUAUAAACUUUGAGAAAUCCUUGCACGCCAGUUUCUCUACAAAGACAGGUAGUUAAAUAAUGUUUCAAUUUAUCUUGCAACCAGUUAUCUACAUUCGGUUGUAAUAGCGAUAAACAAGAAGAAAUCAUUUUAGAUGGAUCAACCAUUUGUGGAGACAUUAUGCUCGUUACUUUUUCUUUCCAUGAAGGGUCUAAAAAUAAAGGCCUGGGUUCUUCAAUGAGAGAACCUUGUUCAUGGCAGUUCAACAAAUAUAAAUGAAGCAACAAUAAGUCGGCAUAGUGAAGGUUAAGUGGACCUUGUAAUAAACU
This is a non-coding RNA of Schizosaccharomyces pombe (fission yeast), 1009 nucleotides long. The record is from the annotation of a GenBank genome assembly. NCBI's taxonomy places the organism in Eukaryota, Fungi, Ascomycota, Schizosaccharomycetes, Schizosaccharomycetales, Schizosaccharomycetaceae.